Molecule: ribosomal RNA, 301 nt
Filed under: uncultured bacterium
Lineage: Bacteria
Description: partial 16S ribosomal RNA
Rfam family: Bacterial small subunit ribosomal RNA
Source: RNAcentral
CAGCAGCCGCGGGAAUACGUAGGUGGCAAGCGUUGUCCGGAAUUAUUGGGCGUAAAGCGCGCGCAGGCGGAUCAGUCAGUCUGUCUUAAAAGUUCGGGGCUUAACCCCGUGAGGGGAUGGAAACUGCUGAUCUAGAGUAUCGGAGAGGAAAGUGGAAUUCCUAGUGUAGCGGUGAAAUGCGUAGAUAUUAGGAAGAACACCAGUGGCGAAGGCGACUUUCUGGACGAAAACUGACGCUGAGGCGCGAAAGCCAGGGGAGCGAACGGGAUUAGAUACCCGCGUAGUCCCUGUCUCUUAUACA